CCUACGGGUGGCUGCAGUGGGGAAUAUUGGACAAUGGGCGAAAGCCUGAUCCAGCCAUGCCGCGUGUGUGAAGAAGGCCUUCGGGUUGUAAAGCACUUUCAGUGGGGAAGAAAGCCUUGGGACUAAUACCCUCGAGGAAGGACAUCACCCACAGAAGAAGCACCGGCUAACUCCGUGCCAGCAGCCGCGGUAAUACGGAGGGUGCGAGCGUUAAUCGGAAUUACUGGGCGUAAAGCGCGCGUAGGCGGUCUGAUAAGCCGGUUGUGAAAGCCCCGGGCUCAACCUGGGAACGGCAUCCGGAACUGUCAGGCUAGAGUGCAGGAGAGGAAGGUAGAAUUCCCGGUGUAGCGGUGAAAUGCGUAGAGAUCGGGAGGAAUACCAGUGGCGAAGGCGGCCUUCUGGACUGACACUGACGCUGAGGUGCGAAAGCGUGGGUAGCAAACAGGAUUAGAUACCCCAGUAGUC
Molecule: ribosomal RNA, 465 nt
Filed under: Vreelandella stevensii
Lineage: Bacteria; Pseudomonadati; Pseudomonadota; Gammaproteobacteria; Oceanospirillales; Halomonadaceae
Description: partial 16S ribosomal RNA
Rfam family: Bacterial small subunit ribosomal RNA
Source: RNAcentral